Molecule: small RNA, 67 nt
Filed under: Pontibacillus chungwhensis BH030062
Lineage: Bacteria; Bacillati; Bacillota; Bacilli; Caryophanales; Bacillaceae
Description: Bacillaceae-1 RNA
Rfam family: Bacillaceae-1 RNA
Source: Rfam by way of RNAcentral
AAUGAGAGAAGUUCGACUAAAAUCCUCACGUCCUGUGACAACGUCGAACGACCCCACAUCGUGUGGG